Equus caballus (horse) is the source of this 10236-nucleotide non-coding RNA. Lineage: Eukaryota; Metazoa; Chordata; Mammalia; Perissodactyla; Equidae. The record is from RefSeq and is a predicted model, not a curated record.
GGGGGAGAAGAAGAAGAAGAAAAAAGAUUGGCAACAGUUAGCACAGGUGCCGAUCUUAAAAAAAGAAAAAGUAGACAAUGACCAAAAAUACCCUACUAAUACUGUGAAAAAUAUCUGUGUGAACCAGGCCAGACCACAAAGACUGGGCCAGGCUGGAGGACUGGAGAGACCGACCAGCCAGACUUGGCUAACGCAACUUCCUCCUUGGUUCUCUGUUGCCUUGGCUAGCACGCAAUGUGAGGAGAUGGAGAUGUAUGGUGGGGCAGGUAGCGGAGUCUCCCUGGUACACUCUCAGACUCCAGUGAUUUGGGUAGCUUCUGGAGGUUUCCAUGAAGCAGCUGAGGACAAGGCCUACUUCAGGAUGAAACUGCCGUGUAGAAUCUAAAGGGUUUUCUUGUUAUUAAGGCUAUUACUACUUCUAGUGCCAGGAUCUGUACUAUGCCAGAUAUUUUUGCAUACUUCAUUAUAUUUGAUCAACAUGACAAAGAUGGAAAGUAGGUAUAAUUAUCCUCAUUUUACAGAGUGGUACUGACAGAAAGGUUAAGUAACUUGUCCAAGGCCCCCAAAUCAGGGUUAUUUCAUUCCCAAGUGUAUUAAUUUCAAGUUACAGUUAUUAUUAAACUUUCAUACUCCUCAAGGCAGGAUCUGUGUCACGUAACUAUUUAUCCCUGUACUGCCUUGCAUGUGAGGUUCUUAGUACAGAUUUUUUGGUGAAAUGAAUGGGUAGAUAACAACCUGUUUUAUAGGUUAUGGUUGAAAAUUGAGGGACUCUGUGAGACUCUUGGAAAGUAAUUAAGAUCUUCGAGAAGACGAAGGUAGAGACCUGCUUGGCGGGCUAGUCCUGAAUUGAACUUCAAAGUUGGGAUGCAGAGGUAAGGAGGAUGUUUGGGAAUAUUCAGUAAUUUAUACUUACAUAAGAAACUUUAUAAAGAGAAUGAGUACAGAAUGAUCUUUAUCUGAGAGGUAAUAUGACGACCAGGAAAAACAGCAUAAGUCAAAAGCCAAAAAGAAGUCAGGAUGAUACUAAACCAGUGUUUCCCAAAGUGUGUUCUAGGGAACCAUAUACCUAAGAAACACUAUCUUGCAUGAUACUUGUCCAAAAGAAGAUCGUAAAAUUAAAUGCAGAUGGAAACACCAUAUAGUAAUACUCUCAUGGUGUAUAUUAGCACAUUAAAAGCUGAGAGUUCCUAUAAAUGAAAAAAACUAACAAUAACAAAGCUCUUUUUUACGUUACCAGCAUUCCCAAACGUAUUUAACACAUAUCCUCUCCCACUAUCCCUCCACACUUCACCGUCUAUUGUCUUACCAAAGAACUAAUGGUUAUCAGAGCCCACUGAGAAACACUAAGAAGGAAAUUGAGUAGUAAUUUGAAAAAAAUUCCUUUUUUCUUCUUUUCAUGCCUUCUCAUCCAGUAUUCAAAUAAUUUUGUAUUUUUUUCAUGGAGGUUAGUCUAUUUCAUUUACUCACUCAAUAAAUGAUUACCAAAUAACUGUAAAGCAUAAGACAUGGUGGUACACACUCUAAAUUAGUAAAUCUUUGAUUUCUCUGGUCCUCAUGAGGAAGGGAAAGAAAGGGAUGGGGAGAGAUGCACAGGAAUAUUGAGAACCAUGUUAGUCAGGACGGUCCCAUCUUCUCCAGCCCUCAGAAGUUAAUAAUACCCAAAUAACAAUAGUCUAAGUCUGUAUUCUACUAUCAAGGAUUUCAAUGUUUUAUUAGGUUUUCUUCCUCAAGUAAUUUUUGAGAAACCUUAAGGAAACUUUUCCUCAAAUCCUCCCAUUCUAGCCAGGCACUUCUAUAGUCCCUGGCUCUGGAACAAUGCUCCACUCCUACUGGUCCCUCCUUGCUAUCUUGUUGCUUCUCCAAGCUGUCAUCUUUCCAUUUCUUCCCAAGGACAAAUAAAAAUGUUUAGGUAUAAGACAAUUAAAUCUAGAUUUAGGGAAAAAAAUGCUGCAGGUCAAGAAUUCUGCUAAUUAUACUCAAUUUAUAUGUCCAAAUAGAAUAUUUAACAUCUCAGUCUGAAGCAUUUGCAUAUAGAUAUAUAGAUGUGUAAUGAGGGAAGUGGUUGGUGCCUUAGCAUUUGCAUUAUUAAUAGGUUCAUCAAAAUAUUACUUUCAAAAUUAAAGGACAGUCUGCACCCUAAAACCCUAAAACACAGAAGUUGAUUGCAAGCCUCCAAAUGACAGUUUUGCAUCUUGAGGAAAUUUAAGAUCUUGUUUCCACCAGGUAUAGACGGGGCAAUGUAAAUAUUUUGGAUCAAAGAGAAUUUCUAUACAAGUGAUGCGGUUCCUGAGUUUUGCUUACAUAUUCGGAAACAAUAAUGAUCAAUUUGGCCAAGCUGGAGUCAAAUAGAUACUAAAAGAGCAGUCAAAGAGAUCCUUGGUAGAGAAACUGUGGGAUAAUCUGAUGAUUGAGUCUCCCUCUCUUGAAGGAGCUAUGAAGAAGAAAAGAGAUUGUGGAUAAUUUCAUAUUUUUAUAUGUGUAUAUAUGUAUUUGCCCAUAUGUCAGAUGACUAGUGAGUUCCUGUGGGUGAAGAGGAAGGUCAGAGAUGCCAGCUACUGGUCAGGUUCAGCCUGCAUUCCUCUCUAAACCGUGCCGUGUAUUUAUCAUGUCGCUUUCAGCUAAGGUCUUUCUCUGGAGCAGCUUCUCAUUUCCAGGGUCAAUUGCUCAUAAAGCUAUGGGCUGCUUGAAGAAAGCACAAAUAAUGUAGAGAGUAAACUAAAAUUAGAGCAAAUGAGAUGGCCUUUGCCAAUGGCGGCUCCCUCUCCUUCCUGUUUUUUUCUGGCUGCCCUUUAUUUAGUAUGCUUUGUGCGUGCACCAGCCGCUGCGUUAAGCACUCUACCAGGGUUACCUAUCUUGUUUAAUCCCCAUGACGUGGACACUGUGCCUGUUCCUUUCUCUGAGUUGGUUGGCAGAAGCAAAUGUGUAUCAGCUAUCUCAAUGCAUCCACGUCUGUUGCCAAACGAGUGAGAGGCUUUGGUGUUUGACAAAUAUGAGGACAACAAGUGACUAUUUCCGCUAUCGCUUGGAGAAGACUCAGCUAACCCCCGUCACUCUGUUCCAUAUUCCGCUUUAUUUUUCUUCUGAGCCUAUUAUUUAUUGGUUUAUCUAUUUGCUUAUUGUUGGUCUCCCACCACUAGAAUGAAGCUCCAUUGGAUUGGGACUGUAUCUGUUUUGUUAGAAUGAGGCCUGGAACAUAGUAGGUGGUCAAUAAAUAUUUACUACUGAAUGAAAAAGGAGAAAUGAGCUUUCAUGGGUGUGGGUCCAAUGACCUUUGGUCUGUUUUAAGAACUUUUUGAUAAAGAGUGAUAGACACUGGUACAGGUAAGGGGCAAGUUGCACAGUCUAAGGGAGCAGGUAUAGGUGUCAAUUGGAAGCUCAUAGAACAUGGAGUGGUGAUGAGGAAAUGCCAAGAAAAAGAAUGAAAAAGGAAAAGAUGGGAAGGGAUUCAUUCACAAUUGCUCCAUUUAUCAACAUGUGUUGGGUGUUUUCUCUGUCCCGGUACCUAACAGAGGACACGUGCUUGGCUAGAAAGUGAUAAAAUGUAAAGAGGGAGCAAAGGGAGGCCAGGAGCUGAAGAAGUUUAGAGGAAGAAAGAGGCCCAAAGAAGUCUCUCUGUGAGAUAUUUGUUAGGGCCUGGCCUCCUCUCGGAAGCAUCUGUGGGAGUGAUUUGUGGUAUGUGUUAGGGAAAAGGAUUACAAGAAGUUUCACACUAGCGAGACCUGCAGAGAAUUUGACUCCAUUGCCAAGUUUUCAGAGUCAAAGAGGGCAAAGCUAAUGUUUUCUACUGAUGCAGCUCUUCAAAUGUCACCCAGAAAAGGAGAGCAGCUUCCAUAAAGAAAAAGAGAACAAACUAACAAUUAUGUAAAAACUAGCUCCCUGAGGGUGAAUUUCUUGAAAGUGGCAAGUUUAGAAAACCUGAGAGAACAAAGAAACAAAACAAAUUAUCUCGGGCUUGGCGGCUGUGGAUGGUGGAGUUGGGUUCUGUGUACAACAGAACACAACAGUUGAACCGGACUCUGUCAGUGAAUCACUGUGUUCCCUGUCAGAGAUGAAUUUGUCAGAGAGCCAUUCAAAGGGUUCAGAAUCCUAAGGGUCCCAGGAAGCCUGUGCCCACCCCUCCUUCUUUGUCUCAAAGCCCCUCUUCCACUGUUGACUUGGGGACUGCACUCCCGUGUCUGUGACAGGGUGUGGCUAGCUCCGGAGGCUGGAAUCAGAGGAGACAUUCCUGACUCCCACACACACACUGUUGCUUUCCCUUCUUUCGGUGUCGGAACUCUGGGGGACCGAAUCCCAGGCUGGCAUUUCUGGCCUUUCUCGAAACUCUCUGUCUGUUCUAACAAAUAAUAUCCCUGUUAUGUAAGUGAUAUAAGUCAAGCCAGGAACAUGCCGCCCAGGGAAGGAGUAUAAUUUUUGUUUUGAUUUCUUCUUUUCUUUUGGCAAAAACUUGUUGUUCCCAUCCCUGCUAGGGCAGAAAUCAAGUCCAACUUGGUGUAUGUGGAGGGGACCGUUCUGCUUGACUGCACUUUAGCCUGGUGCCUGGUCCAGAUGCCCCGCUCGUUAUAGAGAAGCUGCCGUGGGAAAGCACAGUGUAGCUGGGCCUGGGCUUGCACAGAUGCGGUGCUCCGGCCCCCACCUGGGCUCCCACAGAGCUUCAGCCGGGGCCAGGUCUCCUUAGCUGCCUGGAUUGCAGACUGAUAAGACCUCGCUGGCUCACACAGUGCACAGGGCCCUGUCUGAGUUAGGGGCGGGUCUGAAUUGAGGGAAUACUAUUUGCCUAGUAGAAGUUAUAUGUGUCAUUAAAGAGAUUGUGAAAUUUGUAUCAUCUGUGGGAUUAUCAUUCUCCCAGCUACCCAGGCUGGAAAAAUUAGAAUCACUUUUAAAUUUUUUCCUUCCCUUUAUGCCCUAGAUAGAAGCAGUCACCAAGCCCAGCAUUGAAAACCAUCCCUCUCAGUGACUGCCUUCCUUUUGGGCCCUGCCGUCUCCAUGGCGUGGGUCAUCAUUGGGGAGGCAGCCGGAGGGAGGUGAGCACGGACUCUGAAGAAGGACGCUCUGGGUGUGCAUUCUGGCUCUGUCACGUGACUUGGACAAGCUAACCUUUCUGUCCCUCAAGUUAUUCUUAUAAAACUAUUGAUAUUACGUCUUACUUUGCAGGGCUAUUAUGAGAAUUAAAUGAAAUAAUAUUUAUAAAAAUGCAGGUGACUAAACAGUGUGGUCCCAAUUGAUUUUAUUUGAUGUGAUGAUCAGUAGAAAAAAGUCUAUAAGGAUGUGUACCAAAAUGUUAACGAUGUUUUUAUAUUGAGGUGAGAUUUAUGGGCUUGUUUUUUUUUUUAACUUGUAUCUCCCCAAUCAUUUUAUCAAAAUGUCUAGGUGUUAUUCUGACAGAAAUAGAAAGUCCACUUUCCCCAAGAAUGGCAUUCAUAUAUUCAUAGGCUUUCUCUAUUUAUGAUUUUCAAUAAAGUUUAUGGACAAAACAUUUUUCAAGAAUAUUGUUGAGAAUAAGCUGAAGGUGAUAUCUCAGUUGUUAUUCUGAAAACCCUUUGUCCAUUUUGACCUUUGUGCCCCACUGACGACAUCUACCACAUCCAGAGGUGGUUCAGAUGGCAACUGACUCAGUAGGGUGCUUCAGGAGGAUGGUGAGGGAACACUUAAAGACGCUUAGGUGCGUGUGGUGGGCAUGGAGACGUGCUGUCAAAGUCGAGGGUGGAUUUGUUGCUCUAGGUGCUUGGAGUGUUGUCAGUAAACCGCCUCUAGCAGUCAGCUCCUUAGGGAGCUGCCUUGCCCAAGGUCAGCCAUUUUGGGGGUGGCCCACUUCCAAUGACUGAUCCAGGCAGAGUAUAAAAGCCCAGCGAUUUCGGCCAAUUCAGGACACCUCUGAGGGGCUAUUUGCUCUGACUGUGGGAUCGGCCAGGCCUGCUGGACCUGUAUUGCAGCCUGUCUUCUCCCUGUGCCCACUCCUGCUUCCUUCCUCCCCCUUCCAGAGGUGUAGGUCCCAGGGGCUUUCCCUCUUUAACAUCCUGAAGCCUAAAUGCCUUCUCAGAGUCUAGUUGUUGGAGAGCUCAAACUACAACAAUUGGAUCUAGCUAUGCUUUCUUUUGGAGCAGGGGUCAGUAAACUUUUCUGUAAAGGGCCAGACAGUAAAUAUUUUAGGCCCUACAGUCCAACUCUGCCUUUAUAGCAUGAAAGCAGCCAUGGAUAAUAUGUGGAGGAGUGAGCAUGGCUAUGUUCCAAUAAAACUUUAUUUACCAAAAUAAACACUCAGCUGGAUUUGGCCUUUGGGUAUAGUUUGCUAAAGAAUUACUGAUUACUGACAAUUACUAAUUAAUUUCAGAGAACUGGAAAAUUCUGGAGAAUUCCAGAUUAAUUUCUUCGUGCCUGAGAUUGCAUAAAUUACAAAGCAGCUCAUUAUUAUUCUCAUGAAUGCUGGAUAAAGCCAGUAAGACAGACUCCUACCAGAGCUAGUAGUGCACAGAUUCACGAUCUAAUGCUAGAAGGUGUCUUCUGCCCUGGGCAGAGUUAUUUCCCUUUAGCCUGGUUCCUCAGCACCUUUGGCAUCCCCGUCCCAGGAUCCAUGGAGAUGGAGAAAGAGGACUCCCCAAGGGAAGAAUGAAGGAGGGAAGUGGCCAAGGCCCCUGCCAGGACCUUUGCGUGUGUUAUUUCACUCCAGCCUCACCACCUGUGUCACCCCCGUAUUACAGAGGAAGAAAUGGUCUCAGAGAAGGUAAGGAACAUGGUUUUCAGAACUUGUAAACAGUGGAGCUGAUUUCAAACCCAGGCGUGUCUGACUUGAAAGCUGUUGCCCUUUCUGCUACCCCAGGCUGACCUGUCGGGCUUGGCCUCACUUUGGAGACACUUCCUCUUUAAACCCUGAUCAUUUCUUCCCAAGAGGGCUUGGCACAAGGAGUUGGAUCCUGGACCAACUCCACGGCUGUGUUCCUGGGGUUUGUUGCAGACUGAGUUUCCACGUUCUUGCCAUUACCCAGCUCUGGGCUAUGGUAUCAGAUGAGCCGCGGCUUUUGGCUCCCUGAGCCUGGCCGAAUGGCGCUGGCUGUGGUGCAGUCUACUUUCUGUCCUUGCAGGUAUGAGUGUGGUGGGAGCUCAGCACCAAACCCUAUCACCUUCCUUCUGUCAGGCAGCUGUCAUCACCCCCACAGGCCUUUUCUUCACAGCUUGUUGUCAGGAGGCUGGCCAACAUCUUGGGAAGGUGAGAGAGGAAAUUGGGAGGCUGGGGCUGGAGGGAAUCCUGCCACCAGCGUUCUCUCUUCCCCUAGGUCUGAUGGAAAUAACACUGCUCCGGCACCCGGAGACCUGGCUGUGGCCCAGCCUCAGCUGCACGUCAGCGGCAUGGCCCUGGAGACGACCCUGUGGGAGGCGACUGUCUGCUACGGCGGAAGCCCGGGACACCCCUUCCUCGGGGAGCCUUUCCUUUCUCCUCUGGUGGCGAGGCUGAUGCCUCCUCCCUGACUUGGUGAGGACUGAGUGAAGUGGGAUAUGUGCUGUGCCUUGGAAACCGUCAAAUACUACCUAAAGGACUCAUCUUCAUGAAAUCUUUUCAAAGCGUCUACUUAGAAUAAAAACAGCCACCUUCUUUUUGCAAUCGUAUUUCUUGAGUUUACAUGAUAUCUAAUUAAAUUCUACGAUUAAGCUAACAUUCAAGCUGGCGUAAACAGCUUUGGGGACAGUACAGUGGACCCUAGAUGAGCAGACGCUUCCUCUGGCCUUCACAGUGGGAAUGAUACACUCUACUGGUCAACAGAGAUCUACCAAUACAUUUCCAAGUAAAUUCUGAACUCCGUGCUCCUGAAGUUUCUGUAGGAAAGAACGGCCUGUUGGGAGGUGACUCAGAAGACAGAAAUGGUUGAAAGGCUGGCUGUCUUGCUUGAGGAGUUGCUCAGAACACUGAGGUUCUCUUCUGUGGGAGAAUCAGUGCUGGGGUGACAGUCUCAUUAGAAACAGGGAUCCCUCACGAUGUACGAAUCCACGCAGCCCAGACUUCAGGAGACCUUCCUGACUUGCACGCCGGCACCCAGCAGAGAUGACCGGCAGCCCCACCCUCACACCGGCCUUGUGUUGUGUGCUGGUCUGCUGACCUUCAGUGACUGAGGGGUUCUCUCUGUGAAAUCCCUACGCGCUAAAACUCUGUUUCAGGAAGAUGGAUUUCCAUGAUCGUUCUCAGGAUUAACUGUUGUGGUUUGUGAUUUUUCCCUUGAGCUUUUGGAAAUAGCAAGUCUGAUGACAAACCUCAGAAGGGCAUGUUGGCUUUCUGUUAACUGAUUGCUUGCAGAGGAUCUGAGGGACAUUCCUGCUGGGCUCCUGGCUCGGGUCCACCCUGGCUGCAUUUUCCCUUCUGGACACUUCUGGCCCUGGAAGCACAUACAGCGUCACCAUGGUGACUCUGGGACAGACGCUUGCUGUGAAAAGAGCAGGGGAUAAAGUCCCUCCUCUGAAGCUUUCUUAGGAGGGACGGAGGCCUUUGAAAGCUUUCAGAAUCACCCCGUUUCAUCUCCGGGCUUUGACACAGAGGCAGCCUCCUCAGUCGUCAACAUAGAAUCCGUCCCCUUUACUUUUGCUUUGCUGGUGAAAGUGAAUGAAAGCAGUCGAAGAUCUGAAGAAGACUCUCCAGGAUGACCAGCCUCACACCCCAAAGCCCCUCCUUAGGAUGGUUAGCCGGUCGACAGGUGGGAGGCGGCACUGAUGGUGAUCAGGGCUCUCCACCCUGGACUGUUAAGCUCCCUGUUCUCGCACCGAGACUUCUCACUUCUCUCUGUGAGUUUCUGUUGUGGGCCCUCCUGUCUCUGUUCCCACCCUAGCUCAGGCUGUCACUUCCUCGUGUCUGCGUCUUUGUGGCAGAAUCCCAUCUCUCCUUGCUUCUGAUCCCUCUGUCCACCCCCCUCCCCAGCCUCUGGCUGUCCUGUGUACUGUGGAAGACUAAUCUUUCCAGGGUCAUUCUUGAGGGAUCUCAUUAUGGCCCUGUCACGCUGGGUUCUGGUUCAUGUCCAACAUUUUUCCCAGGUAAAAUCAGGUUUAAAUGAAUAUCAAGCAGUGACAGGAGAAACAGCUGCAGCCUGAGGAAUGUACAUAGCAGCAGAGACAUGAUGGAGAAGACGGCGGUGGUGGGAGAAGGUCAGUAGGAGGGACUCGAGGCAGGGCAGGAUUUAUGUGUCAGUCCCACCUUAUGGGAUGUGCCCAGAACGCCAGCUCCUAUCACUUGGUAAUACCUUUUCGAAUGCCGUGCUGAGGAAGGCUCUGAAGCCGCACUCUACUCUAUAGUCAAGAGUGACGGUGGUUGACUGGCAAUGCUUGUGGUUGGUGCAGCAAGAGGGACUUUUCUCCUCUGAAAUAAAUUAGUGUAUCUUUGCUAAAGGUGGAUGUGAAGAAAGUCAAUGACCAGAGGUCUGUUUGGAGGAGAAACAGCAGACCUGAAUUAUUCAACUUUCACCAUCACCCCUUGAUUCUGGAAGGAGGGUCCACCCACUUAGCAAUCAAGUCCAAAGUUCUCUGUCUGGCUUUCAGGAUUUACCUCAACCUGGCUCAGACAGCUUUAACUUCCACUCCUCAACACUCUCUGCUGUGGUUAGGCAUCUCACCUUCUUAGGCCUUGAAGGCAACACCCAACUGCCUGCUUUCCUGUCUUGAGUCCAAGGCCUCUCCUGUCUUUGCCUGCUGAAAUUACUUGUUGUAAAGGCCAAGCUUAGGACCACUUCCUUCCCCAGCUGUGGAAACAGCUCCACCCUUGGAGAUCUCUCUGCUUCCUCUGUGCAGCACUUUCCCCUCCAGUUCGCAUGUUUCUGGUGGGCACACGUCUUCCCUCACGGCUUCCUGUGUGUUAGGCCUGCCCUGCGGUAGACAGAGCUCUAGGCCACAGACAGUGUCUUGCCUUACCGAGCCCUGAGGACAGGGCCAGACAUGUGGGGUGUGCUGGUUUCCAGCUGUUGAGGUUCUAUUUUCUUUCAAAAGUUUGCAUGGGAGGUGCGACAUUCUCUUGGUUUCCUGCCCAAUACGCAUUCCCCUCUUCUGCCUUGGUCACAGAACCCAGUGUUAUUUCAGUAGCACUAAGCCCAGCUGAGAGGCUGUCUUUCCCAGUCCACCAUACAGCUGAAGGUAACAAUGACAGUCAAGCAAACAUUGCUGGAUGGGACUUCUGGCCAAGUUUCUUCAGAGGAGGACAGAGGUAGGUGUUUUGUAAAUAUUUUCUCCCAGUUUGUGGCCUGUCUUUUUACUCUCUUAACAAUAUCUUCC